CCCGAAUACAAUUUCACUCUCACCUCAAACCCUACCACUAUUUUCCCCUCACAGCUACCUCGCCCGAAAUGCAAAAAACCUCUCACGAAUCAUCUCAUGCGAGGAGAUCUAAGGCUACAAGAUUGAAGCCCACCGUACGCAGCAGAAUCGACCGUCGCUGAGUCCUUCUUCUCCGGCAAAAUCUCAGCUGUAGGGGUUCCAGCCUCGACUUGAUUUCGACAAAUUUCAAUUUCGCCUCUCCACUUGCCGAUCAUUUGCAGGACCCUAAAGGCGUGUUUCUUAUACUUUAUGUGAUUGAAGCAAUUAUAAAAAUAUUAAUAUUUUUUGCAUAUCGUAGCUUGAUGCGUUGAUUUGGCUCGUUGAAUCCGAAGGGUGAGAGGGAAAGAGCUCUUAAAAAGCAGCUGGAGAAAAACUACAACAAAAUAAAGUAAGUUGUUCAUGACUUUGUACCAAGAUUGUUCCUUUCGCAGUUUCCAUGCCUCAAGUAAGGGAUGGAGGGGUGGCGUGGGGAGCGGGAAGUGGGAGAAAG
This 529-nucleotide long non-coding RNA is filed under the name Olea europaea subsp. europaea. The record is from RNAcentral. Lineage: Eukaryota; Viridiplantae; Streptophyta; Magnoliopsida; Lamiales; Oleaceae.